RNAcentral lists this ribosomal RNA (323 nucleotides) under uncultured eukaryote. Its description in RNAcentral is "partial 18S ribosomal RNA". It matches the Rfam family "Eukaryotic small subunit ribosomal RNA", at positions 1470 to 1796 of the family's 1831-position model. The record is from RNAcentral.
CCCUUAGAUGUUCUGGGCCGCACGCGCGCUACACUGACUACUUCAACGAGUUGUUUCCUUGAUCGAAAGGUCUGGGUAAUCUUUGAAAGGUAGUCGUGAUGGGGAUAGAUCCUUGCAAUUUUUGAUCUUCAACGAGGAAUUCCUAGUAAACGCAAGUCAUCAGCUUGCAUUGAUUACGUCCCUGCCCUUUGUACACACCGCCCGUCGCACCUACCGAUUGAAUGGUCCGGUGAAAUCUCCGGACUGGCGUGAGUCGGAGCAAUCUGACAAACACCGGAAAGUUGAUUAAACCUUACCAUUUAGAGGAAGGUGAAGUCGUAACA